GAUGAACGCUGGCGGCGUGCUUAACACAUGCAAGUCGAGCGAGUGAGUUCUUCGGAACGAUCUAGCGGCGGACGGGUGAGUAACACGUGGGCAACCUGCCUCAUAGAGGGGAAUAGCCUCCCGAAAGGGAGAUUAAUACCGCAUAAAAUUAUCGAGUGGCAUCACACGGUAAUCAAAGGAGUAAUCCGCUAUGGGAUGGGCCCGCGGCGCAUUAGCUAGUUGGUGAGGUAACGGCUCACCAAGGCGACGAUGCGUAGCCGACCUGAGAGGGGGAUCGGCCACAUUGGGACUGAGACACGGCCCAGACUCCUACGGGAGGCAGCAGUGGGGAAUAUUGCACAAUGGGGGAAACCCUGAUGCAGCAAUGCCGCGUGAGUGAUGACGGCCUUCGGGUUGUAAAGCUCUGUCUUCGGGGACGAUAAUGACGGCACCCGAGGAGGAAGCCACGGCUAACUACGUGCCAGCCGCCGCUGUAA
RNAcentral lists this ribosomal RNA (476 nucleotides) under uncultured bacterium. RNAcentral describes it as "partial 16S ribosomal RNA". It matches the Rfam family "Bacterial small subunit ribosomal RNA", at positions 28 to 523 of the family's 1533-position model. The record is from RNAcentral.